UGUUUCUUCUUUUGUU
This 16-nucleotide small RNA is filed under the name Arabidopsis thaliana (thale cress). Its description in RNAcentral is "ATSL016080". The record is from RNAcentral. Lineage: Eukaryota; Viridiplantae; Streptophyta; Magnoliopsida; Brassicales; Brassicaceae.